Non-coding RNA from Pelobates cultripes (western spadefoot toad), 264 nucleotides. The record is from the annotation of a GenBank genome assembly. Lineage: Eukaryota; Metazoa; Chordata; Amphibia; Anura; Pelobatidae.
UGGAGUGGGAGGUCGUGUCGAGGGCAGAGUCCAAGGACAUAUUCAGGUCACCACCCAUGAUCAACAUGCCUUCCAUAAAGGAUUCGAUUAUAUUAAGAUACUUCUUGAGGGCUUUGCCUUGGUGUCGGUUGGGUAGGUAUAGGUUAGCAAAUGUGAGGACGGUCUGGCCUAUCUGUCCCUUUACCAAGAGUAGCCUGCCCCCAUCAUCAGUUUUGUGAGCCUUGUAGGUGAAAGGAGUGUGUGCUGCAAAGAGUAUGGCUACCC